RNAcentral lists this long non-coding RNA (4716 nucleotides) under Homo sapiens (human). RNAcentral's name for it is "HSALNT0336795". Lineage: Eukaryota; Metazoa; Chordata; Mammalia; Primates; Hominidae. The record is from RNAcentral.
AAACACAGAUAUGGUGGUUGACACAGUCCUAAAAAAUGGAGUCAUGGAGGUAAGUACAUACUGCUCUUUGGAGAAACAUGGUUGUAAGGUGAACGAAAAACUAAGGUGUACACUAGAAGGAAACAGAGCGACAAAAUAGGAGAUGCUGAAAGAAAAAGAGAAGUUGAAAUACAGAAGAGAAGAGACGCAAUGUAAGCUUCCCAAAGAAAUGAGAAGAUGUGAUUCAAAGAACAGAUGGUAGGUUUAACAUUUGAAAUGUAGGACAACAAUUUAGCUAAAAUAGAAAGGGAAGAGGUAAGGCUGGCUCUGACUAUAUUUACACUUGUUUGUGUUUUGGGGAGAGAAAGGAAGUGGAGAACGUUCUUGCAAGAUGAUCUGUAUUUUCUCUCUAAAGCAGAGUUCAUUUGCUGAGAAUGAUGGAGAAAAUCAGCAUCUAGCUAAUCAGCUGACCAUGAGAUGCAGAGAUUAUCUGGAAUUAUCCAGAUUGGUCCAUUUAAUUACAUGAGUCCUUAAAAGUGGAAAGUGGAAGAAGAGGCAGAAGAGUGUGUCAGAGAGAUGCUGUGUGAAAAGGACUCAACCUGCCACUUGAGGCUUUGAGGCUGGAGAAAGGGGCCAUGAACCAAGGAUUGUGAGCAGCCUGUAAAAUCUGGAAAAGACAAGGCAAUACCCUUUGCUGUCUCAGGGUCAAACAUGCAACUCCUGCCUGCUUGUAUGGCCAGCUGGGUUCAAGAAGGAAGGAACCUCAUUGUUGACAGUUACCAGAUGAAUGUGCCCCUUCUGUACAGCUAAGAAAUGGAAUAGACAUUGGUAACCUUCCACAGGCCCACACAUGUGUUAUCAGCCAUACCUUAGGACAGAAGGAAUGAGUUUGCAGAAAGGAUGCUCUUCAGAACUCAUGAAGACAUAAGGUGCUUCAAAAGAGGAGACUUUCGGAACAUGAGCAGGGAAAUUGUCACUUGAUAGAUGACAAGCAUUGUGAGAAACAACAGUUUGCCUUUCUUCAUUCCCUUCCUGGUUAUCUUUCCUGUCACAUGAAGAAGAAAUGAAACACCAGAGAGAAUCAGGUUAUCAUCAUCUACACCAGCCACUGUCACUGGCCUUCAAAGUUCAACCUCCCUGGAACUCCAGAACUCCCCACUUUAUAAGAUGAAUGGCUAAUUGGAUCCUAGUACAUAAGGAAACACUGGCAAAAUAGCGCCCUACAACCAUACUGAGAAUUUAGCCCUGGGGACAUCUUCCGAUAUAAUCUGGCAUAGAAGAGUGGUUAUCACACCUUUAGCAUGGGACCCUUGAGACACCUUUGCUGUGAAUAAUGGAGAAGCAAAAGGAGUUACUAAUGAAGACAAACUAAACCUGAGAACAGAGAGAGCCUAACUAUGUGCUCCAGAAGUGCCAUGUGUGUCUAAGGUAGGUCCAAAGGUAUGAGUCUAGAGAUAUUAUGUAUAAAACACCUAAUUGAAUGUCAAAAAAUCCAUAGAAGCUUAAUAAUUGGUAGCAAUUAUUAUUACUCAUUAGUGUGGGGGCUGGGAAGAUGACAACAGAGUAUAACUUGGAGGGUUGGUGUAGAGCAAUUAGCUAGCAACUGUAGUUUGAAUUUCCAUGAAGUAGUUCCCUUAAUUGUGUACACACAAACACAUCAAAACUGAAACCACAGCUAUGUGAUUUAAUAAUGUUGCACGUUUAGACAUGAUACAAGGCACUUUUGCCUACAUUAUCUUUCUGUGAGUUUAACAUUAGACCUGGUAUAAUUAUCCUAAAUUUACUACUAGAGAAUUUAGUUUGAAAAGUCAUGCAACUUUUCUAAAGAAUUUUUUCUGAUUUAAUAACACCAAUCAAUGAAUUAAUCAAUCAACUGUUCUGGCCAUUAAAUGUGUGAGAAAAAAAAGUCAGUGUAUUAAUUAUAAUUAUAUACCGAGACUUGGCUCUGUGUGUUUCACAAAAUAAGUAUAAAGUAUCAAAUUUGUUAUAAAUGUGUGACCCAUUAAAAGAAAAAAAAACUUGAUAGAUGUGUAUUUGGUAACAGCUUUUUAGAAAAUUUUUUGAACAUUUAUGAUGUUCAGAAAAGAACAGUGAUCAGUGUGCUAAAUUAAAUUACUUGAAUAAAUUAUGGAGAAAAAGUUCUGAUUUUUGUGCAAGGUUUGCAUUCUGGAUUGAGGUCCAGUUCUUUUUGAAGUAUCUGAAAUCAAACAUAUAUUUCCAAACCCUGAGGACUGAUUUCCUUCUGAAGACCACCCUCUCUUCUAUUUGAGGAACUCCAUAUUCCUUCUUGUAACACUACUCUGAUUCUAUAUCAAGCAAUCUUGGCCUUGUUAAGAUAAGAAAGUUGCCUUAAGCACUUUCCAAAGCUUUCCUACAUUCACUGUUGGUGGAUGGUGUCCCUACCCUACUUGUUCCCCUGCAGAACCUCAGAUUGGAGAUAUAAGGGGUGAAAUAACAGCCAAGUACCUCAGAGCUAAGUACUUUACAUAUAACUCAUUUAAUCCUCACAGCAUUGCUAUGGAACAAGUACUAUUAUUCAUCCCAGUUUACAGAUAGAAACUAAGGCAGAGAAAGGUUAAAUAAUCAAAGUUUACCUACUAGAUAACAGAGUGGGGGUAGAAACCAAGCCAUUCUGGCUUUUCCUGCUUGUAACACCAGGGUGGUAAAGGUGAAAAUUUGGGUUCAUUCUCACAGAGAAGAGGUUAUUAAGGCUCAGACUGGACAGAUAGCAUGGGAAUGAUGAGCAAGCAGGAAAUUUAAGAGUCAGAUCUUAGAAAAAUAUGACAAAGCCUAGAGACUGGCAACUGACAUGAUCUGAGAAAAGUGAGGAGGCCAGUGUUCCUUGUUUGGAAACAGGAGGAAUAAUGGGACCACUGGUUGAAAUGGAGUGCAAAUGUCUUAUAAGAAAAGGAAAAAAAUGACACCAACUUGACCCUCAAGUAUAUUUUGAGUAUAUUCUAUUUCUCUUUUCAUUAGAAGAAAUUUAAUUUGAGAAAUGAAUAGAGAAAGAAAGGGGAAAGGAGAAUGUUUCAAAGAAUAAGGUUAAAGUCAUCACAGCUUGACAGCAAUCUAAAAGUCAAAAAGUAUGCCAGAAUAGCAGGUAUUUGAGACCCACUGUUCGAAACAAUUUUAUUUUAAACACAUGUGGUUCCUUAAUGAUACUGGUAGCAUGGUGGUUGUGCAGCCCGCCUUUAGCAGGAAGUGCUGAUUUGCUUAAUUCUAUUAAGCCUAUAAGAAAGGUAAAUCUGUCUCCUGAACUUAAGGGGCCUCUGCUCUAAAGUAAGUUUGACAUUGGCCAAUAAUCACCCUGACAUUCUUGUGGCUUUGGCUGCUCUUGAAGCUGCUGAAUUGCACCAAGAGAAGAGGCUGAGUGAGAAAGCCUGGUUAUAGCAAUGGCCCAUCCUGUCAGUGCUGGGAGUGGGUACUAUACUCAAAGCAGUAUAAAUACAGAUGCUGCACAUUAUGCUCUGCUAUGCUGGCUGCCUUUGGGAUGAUUGUUGGGAAAGUUCUUGAAGCCAGUGGUGUUAGAGGGGACAGUGUGCUUCUUGAAACAAAAGAGUUGAUGGUGAGAAUGGUCUUUGAAAACUGUACUCUUUACAAAGGUGAACUCUGCAAACUGGGCCUACUGAAAGAAAUAGGGAUUCUAUUUUCAUUACUGUUUUAUCAUCAAAAUACCAUAAGGCCUGGCCCUUAGCAAAUAGUCCUUAAAUAUCUGAUACCAUUAGAAGCUUGCUUCUAUGAAGGGUGAUCACCCAUCCCAGUUUGCGUGGGACAGUCUUAGUUUACAUUAUUGUCCUUGCAUCCUGUUCAGCUGGUAUAUAUCCAAGUCUCUUAAUUUUUAUUCAAGUAUUAUUAUUAAUAGUUGUACAAAAAUAAGUCAGAAUAAGUUUGGUAGACCUCUACUUUAUUUCCAGCUUCUGUCAUUUUCUUCCUGGUAGUAGGUAUGAGACAUAUAUACAUGGAAAGAUAAUCAGCAGUAGCCUAUCUCUCUCCCUUUAAUUUUUUAAAGAACUUUCCAGAUUCAAGAAUGGACAAGGCACUCAGUUAUGAGCAACAAAUUCCUUUUGUCUUGGAGAUCAUGGAAGAAGUAUUAGAUGCUGCUCCCCUUAGUGUAACAGCCAGUUUUGUUGCAGCCUGUGGGGCCUGCAAGCUACACAAAACCACCAGGAUCCUAGAAGAGUCACUAGGAAACGUAGAGUAUUAUAGCUAGAUAAACAUCAUCACAUAUGUGUAAAAGAUAGAGACUGAACAGUCCAGUCUUAAAAUGUAUAGCAAAGUAGUUUGAAUGCUCUUGUUACAGUGAUUUUGUCAUCUACCAAUUUUAAGUGUGUAGUGAUUUAUCUAUCACAUUAUUUGGCAAUACUUUCUGAAUUUUGCAAUACAUGCAACAAUGACCUAAAAAAUGAAAGUGCAUGUUUAAUUUAAAAAUUAAAAGUAAAGCCAGGCGCAGUGGCUCACACCUGUAAUCCCAGCACUUUGGGAGGCUGAGGCGGGCGGAUUACCUGAGGUCGGGAGUUCAAGACCAGCCUGACCAACAUGGAGAAACCCUGUCUCUACUAAAAAUACAAAAUUGACUGGGCGUGGUGGUGCAUGCCUGUGGUCCCAGCUACUUGGGAGGCCGAAGCAGGAGAAUUGCUUGAACCUGGGAGGCGGAUGUUGCGGUGAGUGGAGAUCGCGCCAUUGCACUCCAGCCUGGGCAACAAGAGCAAAACUCUGUCUCAAAAAAAAAAAAAAAAA